AUUGAACGCUGGCGGCAGGCCUAACACAUGCAAGUCGAGCGGAUGAAGGGAGCUUGCUCCUGGAUUCAGCGGCGGACGGGUGAGUAAUGCCUAGGAAUCUGCCUGGUAGUGGGGGAUAACGUCCGGAAACGGGCGCUAAUACCGCAUACGUCCUGAGGGAGAAAGUGGGGGAUCUUCGGACCUCACGCUAUCAGAUGAGCCUAGGUCGGAUUAGCUAGUUGGUGGGGUAAAGGCCUACCAAGGCGACGAUCCGUAACUGGUCUGAGAGGAUGAUCAGUCACACUGGAACUGGGAAACGGUCCCGACCCCUAAGGGAGGCAGCAGUGGGGAAUAUUGGACAAUGGGCGAAAGCCUGAUCCAGCCAUGCCGCGUGUGUGAAGAAGGUCUUCGGAUUGUAAAGCACUUUAAGUUGGGAGGAAGGGCAGUAAGUUAAUACCUUGCUGUUUUGACGUUACCAACAGAAUAAGCACCGGCUAACUUCGUG
This 484-nucleotide ribosomal RNA is filed under the name uncultured bacterium. Its description in RNAcentral is "partial 16S ribosomal RNA". It matches the Rfam family "Bacterial small subunit ribosomal RNA", at positions 30 to 507 of the family's 1533-position model. The record is from RNAcentral.